Molecule: ribosomal RNA, 477 nt
Filed under: uncultured bacterium
Lineage: Bacteria
Description: bacterial SSU rRNA
Rfam family: Bacterial small subunit ribosomal RNA
Source: RNAcentral
AGAGUUGAUAUGGCUCAGAACGAACGCUGGCGGCAGGUCUUAGGCAUGCAAGUCGAACGGAUGACAGAGAGCUUGCUCUCUGAAGUCAGUGGCGCACGAGUGAGUAACGCGUGGGAAACUGCCCUUCACUGGGGAAUAACGUUUGGAAACGAACGCUAAUACCGCAUACGCCCGCAAGGGGAAAGAUUUAUCGGUGAUGGAUGUGCCCGCGUUGGAUUAGCUAGUUGGUGGGGUAAUGGCCUACCAAGGCGAUGAUCCAUAGCUGGUCUGAGAGGACGAUCAGCCACGCUGGAACUGAGACACGGUCCAGACUCCUACGGGAGGCAGCAGCUAAGAAUAUUGGGCAAUGGAGGAAACUCUGACCCAGCCCAUGCCGCGUGAAUGAAGAAGGCCUUCGGGUUGUAAAGUUCUUUUAGUCAUGAAGAUGAUGACAGUAGUGACAGAAAAAGCACCGGCUAACUUCGUGCCAGCCGCCGC